AUCCAUAUCUGUCCAUCUCUCCUCUCUCGCCUUGCACACGAGCCUCAGCCUGUGCGCUCCGAGUCCUCCGACGCCGCCGCCUCUUCACGCCCCUCGCCACCGCUGCUAUCGCUCCUCUCCAUCCACGCCACCUUGGCCCACCUCCCUCCAUGUGCCCAGUGAGUGCCCUGCGAGUCCCUCUCCUUCCACGCGCCGACGAGCCGCUAUCCCCUCCUCGUCGUCGCUGGAUGGGGACGAGGAGCUCGGUGACGGCGCGCGGGAUUGGGGAGCAGCUCUCCGGCAGCGAUGAGCUCCAACGAUGCCGCCACCUCUCCCUUCAAUCUUGACGGCGGCAUGGCGACGGGGCUCCUCGAGCGGCUGCGGCGCAGAUCCAGCCCACACCGCUGCCCAGGGGAGGGGGUGCACCAGCAGCACCACUAGUACUCCCUCCGUUCUAAAAUAUAACAAUUUUUAGCGUUUAGAAUUUGUCCCAAAAUAUAUAACAAUUUAUCCACCAAUAUUCUCUUCUCAACCAAUCACUUUUCCCACCUACAUUCACUACUCAUCCAAACUUUCUUAAUAAUCGUGUCCAACUCUAAAACUUUUUAUAUUUUUAAACGGAGGGAGUAAUUUAUAUAUUUUUUAAAACAAUAUUAUAGUAAAUUAUAAUUUUUUUGCGUGUUGUUAUCAUCAGCAAUAACAGUGGAAUGCACUAACAAAGAAGCAGAGAUAAAAAACUGCACUAACCAUAACCAUUCGAUCUGGAAAAAAAGAUAGCUAUUAUCGCGUAAUUGAAAAGUGAAGGAGCUAUUCAAAUGAAUCCAUUGACUGGUAAAGAAUUAGCAAAUAGAACAGAAGAUAGAGGAGGCAAGGAAUUGCCUGUGCCCAGCCUCGGUGACAUCCCAUCAUCUUGCUGAGGCGUCGAUUAAUUAGUCAUCCAGGAUUAAUUAUGGCAUUGGCGGUAAGAGGCGAGGAUUAAUUGUGGCAUUAGCGGCAAGAGGCGUCGGCACUGGUAGGGACAAAGAGGAAGAGCGAGUCGCCAGAAAGAAAAAAAAAGAGAAGAGGCGUGCGUGUGCGUACGUCCUCACGCUGAUGAGGCAAGCAGGACUGAACUGGGCUCCUAUCGUGGUUAUGGUUGUAGGCUGUUCGUGCUUCAAUGGCCUGAUUUCUAGCGUGGGGGUACACCAAGCUUAGCUGAGGGGGUGCACAUAUGGUUACUAAGGGGUAUUAAGCACUAAUUUUUCUUUUGCAACCGGGUGCCUAGGAACCCCAUAACACUACUUAGCUUCGUCCCUGCCGCUGGCCCCUCCUCCUCGUCGUUGGAUGGGAGCGAGGAGGUCGGUGGUGGCGUUCAGGAGAAGGGCAUUACAGCGAGCUAAAAAGGAGAUGAUGAUAUAGACGCAAUAUAUUUUGGUCUAUCCGUGUUCUUCAAACCAGGUAUAUGCAUGUCACAUUUUAAUGCAUGUGUAGUGGUUUAUUUUUAAUGCUAAGAGAGUAACAGAUCAACACAUAAUGUGUAUAUGCCUUCUUUGCUGUAUAAUCUGUGGAUAGUAGUUAAAUGCCAACAGAAUCGAGACCAUAUCCUAAUUAUAUUCUGUUGUUUAUCCAUCUUCCUUGACAGUUCUUGCAUUGUAUGUGUCAGCUCAUGUGUGAAGUGUUGUGGUUACAAAUUAGUUUUUGACUUUUAUCUCUACUUAAAUUUGCCGUUUUACAAUAUCAGGUUUUUACUGAGAGGUGCUGCACAAGUGUUAUGUUGUUAUGUACUAGAAUCUGUUGGAAAUAGUCCCACAUUGCUAAUCUAGGGGAAGUUGAACCAAACUUAAAAGUGGAGGGAGCCCUCACCUCUUGAGGUAGCUUUUGAGGUGUAGCAAGGCUUUCUCCUGGUUGGGCCAACGUCUCCCGGUUUUGGGCCAACAAGUGGUAUCAGAGGCAAACCCACAAUUUCUAGUGCUUGUGCACACUCAGGGUGGUGUAAGCCCAAAGCCCAGUGGACUGCGGGUGUGAGACCUGUAUGUGCCCGUGUGUGGGGCCGGUCAGUGGACCGCGGGUGUGAGUCCCAUAUGUGCGCGUGUGUGGGGCCGGUCAGGGCUAAGGGGCGCCAAUGUGUGACGGGGGAGAUAAUGUGGGACUUAUUCCCAACAGAAUCUAAUGUGUGUUCAGCUGGAAUGGUACUUUACAUUUUGCUUAGUGGAGUGCCGCCAUUUCUGGAAUAUCAGGUGUUAAAUUUGAAAUCCAAUAUAUUUCUGGAAUUGCUAAAGGAAUAUUUGAUGCAGUUCUGAAGGGUCACAUUGAUUUUCAAUCAGUUCUAAAGAUAUCUGACAGUGCAAAGGAUCUUAUAGAAAAAAAAAAGCUCUCUCAUUGUUCUUCAGAGCGUUUGAAGGACCAUGAAGUGCUAAGUAUAUUUGACAUAUUUCUUCACCUAAAUUUGUUGGCCCUUUGUUUCAUUGCCUGUCUAUAUAGCUGAGUAGCUCUGCAUUUUUGUCAUAACAUAUAUUGAUGCAUAAUUUUUAUUUUCACUAAUUAUUUAAUAUGCACAAACCUUUUGAUUUUUUGACUGAUAUAUAUGUUAAUAUCAGGACAUCCUUGGAUCUGUGAAAAAUGGAGUUGCCACUUAUCAAGCUCUAGAUAACAGUGUUAUCUCUUGGCCCAAACAAUUCUCUGCAAUGAACAAGUUAAAAAAGUUGGCUUUGAGAGAUUUUAUGGUCAGAAAGAUCAACUGGAGCUGGCACUUUAUAUUCUCCGAAACUCUGUCAGGCUAAAGUCAAUGAAGAUAAAUCCAAAGCCUAUAAUUGCUGAAUAUCUUGGAGAGGUGAGAGAAAGUGAAGGAUUUUUCUUUCUGGGAUGGCUACCAGGUUGCUCUUAAGUUUCUCUGCAAAGAGGAUCGCUAUAAUGUUGUUGAUGUUAAGGAAGUUGGGCUUAGUGUUAUUGAGAGCACACCAGAUCUCUAGCUAAACUGGUCCAAUAUGUAUCAAGUUCCUAGCAGAAAACUCUUGCCAGCAAAGAAGGCAAGAAAGAAAAUGCAUAGACCCUUGAAUUUUAUUGAAUAGUUAGUUUAUAUGAAACUUUCUUUACUGAAUAUA
Molecule: non-coding RNA, 3059 nt
Organism: Oryza sativa Japonica Group (Japanese rice)
Lineage: Eukaryota; Viridiplantae; Streptophyta; Magnoliopsida; Poales; Poaceae
Source: RefSeq, a predicted model, not a curated record